This is a long non-coding RNA of Lucilia cuprina (Australian sheep blowfly), 678 nucleotides long. RefSeq lists it as uncharacterized. The record is from RefSeq and is a predicted model, not a curated record. Lineage: Eukaryota; Metazoa; Arthropoda; Insecta; Diptera; Calliphoridae. The transcript is spliced from 2 exons.
GACGCGUAACGUAUUGCAUUGCUUUCGAGAGAAGGAAAAACAAAUUAGAAAAUAAAAACAACAACCGUGCGUUAAAACUAAACAUAACGGAAUAUGUUUAACGGGUCUAUUGUAUGUAACGGGAAAUAACAAUCAUUAUUGAAAACUUUCCACUAAAAUUAUUUAAUUGUUUUUUUCGUAAAAUUUCUUUUAAUUUUAAAAAAAAGUGAAAAUUUUUAAAAAGUGUUUAAAGUAAACCAGCAUGUGUGUUUGUUUGAAAGAAUUAAUUUGUCUCACAAUCGGUUACGGACUAACGGUUUGUUUACGUCAUUGUCGAAAAUGUUGAAAAAGUGAGAAACAAAAAAAUAUAAAUAAAUCUUACAAAAAAGUAUAACAAUAAGAAAAAAGAAACAAAAACAAAAAUCAAAUUAUCUUUGAAAAAAAAACAAAAGUUAUUAAAAGAAAAAAAUAAGAACAUUUUAUCUAUAAAUUUUUUUUAAGUAAAACACGAGGUCAACAACAUAAAUAACUACUACACUACUACUACAAGUAGUUUUACAAAAAUAAAAACAACAACAACUAUGUAGUAUGUAAAGGCAACAAAAAGAAACAAUAAUGUGUAAUAAAACUACAGACAACGACGCCGCUUAAAGUUAAAGGAAGUCGAGGAAGCUAAGUUGUGUGGUAAAAAGAUUUAAA